AGUGAACGCUGGCGGUAGGCCUAACACAUGCAAGUCGAACGGCAGCACAGUAAGAGCUUGCUCUUACGGGUGGCGAGUGGCGGACGGGUGAGGAAUACAUCGGAAUCUACUUUUUCGUGGGGGAUAACGUAGGGAAACUUACGCUAAUACCGCAUACGACCUACGGGUGAAAGCAGGGGAUCUUCGGACCUUGCGCGAUUGAAUGAGCCGAUGUCGGAUUAGCUAGUUGGCGGGGUAAAGGCCCACCAAGGCGACGCUCCGUAGCUGGUCUGAGAGGAUGAUCCGCCACACUGGAACUGAGACACGGUCCAGACUCCUACGGGAGGCAGCAGUGGGGAAUAUUGGACAAUGGGCGCAAGCCUGAUCCAGCCAUACCGCGUGGGUGAAGAAGGCCUUCGGGUUGUAAAGCCCUUUUGUUGGGAAAGAAAAGCAGCAGGUUAAUACCCCGCUGUUCUGACGGUACCCAAAGAAUAAGCACCGGCUAACUUCGUG
This 492-nucleotide ribosomal RNA is filed under the name uncultured bacterium. RNAcentral's name for it is "partial 16S ribosomal RNA". It matches the Rfam family "Bacterial small subunit ribosomal RNA", at positions 29 to 507 of the family's 1533-position model. The record is from RNAcentral.